GUACUCGAGCGGCGAACGGGUGAGUAACACGUGAGCAACCUGCCCCUGACUCUGGGAUAAGCCCGGGAAACUGGGUCUAAUACCGGAUACGACCGCCCCCGGCAUCGGGUGGUGGUGGAAAGUUGUUUCGGUUGGGGAUGGGCUCGCGGCCUAUCAGCUUGUUGGUGGGGUAGUGGCCUACCAAGGCGACGACGGGUAGCCGGCCUGAGAGGGCGACCGGCCACACUGGGACUGAGACACGGCCCAGACUCCUACGGGAGGCAGCAGUGGGGAAUAUUGCGCAAUGGGCGGAAGCCUGACGCAGCGACGCCGCGUGGGGGAUGACGGCCUUCGGGUUGUAAACCUCUUUCAGCAGGGACGAAGUUGACGUGUACCUGCAGAAGAAGCGCCGGCUAACUACGUGCCAGCAGCCGCGGUAAUACGUAGGGCGCAAGCGUUGUCCGGAAUUAUUGGGCGUAAAGAGCUCGUAGGUGGCUUGUCGCGUCUGCCGUGAAAGCUCGCAGCUUAACUGCGGGUCUGCGGUGGAUACGGGCUGGCUAGAGGUAGGUAGGGGAGAACGGAAUUCCUGGUGUAGCGGUGAAAUGCGCAGAUAUCAGGAGGAACACCGGUGGCGAAGGCGGUUCUCUGGGCCUUACCUGACGCUGAGGAGCGAAAGCGUG
This 659-nucleotide ribosomal RNA is filed under the name Nonomuraea sp. Its description in RNAcentral is "bacterial SSU rRNA". It matches the Rfam family "Bacterial small subunit ribosomal RNA", at positions 87 to 763 of the family's 1533-position model. The record is from RNAcentral. Lineage: Bacteria; Bacillati; Actinomycetota; Actinomycetes; Streptosporangiales; Streptosporangiaceae.